AACCUUAUGGACCUGCGGGCGUAUACCUGCGGAGGGAUCAUUAUUGUAGGGACUUCGGUCCUUCCAAGAUGCAACCCUUGCCUUUUUUCCAGCGUCUCUCCGUUUCCUCGGCAGCUCCGCCUGCCAACGAGGACAACCAAAAACCUUUUUGCAAUCUCUGAAUAAACUUCUGAAAAUUACAAAAAACGUUAAAACUUUCAACAACGGAUCU
RNAcentral lists this unclassified non-coding RNA (211 nucleotides) under soil metagenome. Its description in RNAcentral is "partial contains 5.8S ribosomal RNA, internal transcribed spacer 2, and large subunit ribosomal RNA". The record is from RNAcentral.